GUGAGCUGUAUAAUGGGAAACUAUCUCCUGCGGUUUAGAGAGGACUCAUCUGUUAGUUAGUACCUCCUUGGUUUUGGGGUGGAACUUUUCACUCUAU
Capsicum annuum is the source of this 97-nucleotide non-coding RNA. Lineage: Eukaryota; Viridiplantae; Streptophyta; Magnoliopsida; Solanales; Solanaceae. The record is from Rfam.